RNAcentral lists this small RNA (28 nucleotides) under Bombyx mori (domestic silkworm). RNAcentral's name for it is "ovarian small RNA-14158". Lineage: Eukaryota; Metazoa; Arthropoda; Insecta; Lepidoptera; Bombycidae. The record is from RNAcentral.
CGACACAGGACGCAGCUAGGCGGUUUCG